Molecule: unclassified non-coding RNA, 252 nt
Filed under: uncultured fungus
Lineage: Eukaryota; Fungi
Description: sequence contains ITS1
Source: RNAcentral
GUAUUUAUUUUAAAGGCAAACAUUCCAUAUUUUUGUUAGGAGUAUGUAUAAAAACCAUAGACCAGAAAUGUAAAGAAAGCUCAAUUUUAUUGCAAUCUUUGAACCGAGUUCUUCUCGAGAGAUAUCUAAGGUCUACAAAAGUGCACAAGUGGUUAUAAUUUUAAUGUCAGGUGUGCACAUAUCCCUAAGGACCAGCAACAACCCAAGCAAGUUUAUUCAAUAAUGAUCCUUCCGCAGGUUCACCUACGGAAA